Molecule: ribosomal RNA, 460 nt
Filed under: uncultured bacterium
Lineage: Bacteria
Description: partial 16S ribosomal RNA
Rfam family: Bacterial small subunit ribosomal RNA
Source: RNAcentral
CCUACGGGAGGCAGCAGUGAGGAAUAUUGGUCAAUGGGCGCGAGCCUGAACCAGCCAAGUAGCGUGAAGGAUGACUGCCCUACGGGUUGUAAACUUCUUUUAUAAAGGAGUAAACUGAGGCACGUGUGCCUGUCUGUAUGUAUCUUAUGAAUAAGGAUCGGCUAACUCCGUGCCAGCAGCCGCGGUAAUACGGAGGAUCCAAGCGUUAUCCGGAUUUAUUGGGUUUAAAGGGAGCGUAGAUGGGUGGUUAAGUCAGUGGUGAAAGUUUGCGGAUCAACCGUAAAAUUGCAUUUGAUACUGGCAGUCUUGAGUACAGUUGAGGUAGGCGGAAUGCGUGGUGUAGCGGUGAAAUGCUUAGAUAUCACACAGAACUCCGAUUGCGAAGGCAGCUUACUAAACUGCCACUGACGUUGAUGCUCGAAAGUGUGGGGAUCAAACAGGAUUAGAUACCCGGGUAGUC